GGUUGCUAAAGUCCGGAGCGCGUACAUUAAUACAUGGCAGUAAAGGCACCAGGUCUCGUUGCGAUUGGAAGCAGCUGUAUGUAUCAGUUAUUCCACUGGUUAUAUAUAUUUCAUCUGGCCGCUAUCCGGAGCCAGUUACGGAUGUGUAAAAUAACGAAAACUUAUAUCCAAGAAAUGUAUUAUUUGAAAACUUAUAGGUAAGAAAUAUAUUAUUUGAAGAUUGUUGCUUUUUCAUGUUGAGUUCCGUAGCAUUUCUAGCGUCCUGCAUUAAGAACCAUUAUGAAGCUCGCAUGAAAUUUCUAUUCAGGCAUCAAGAGGAAUUAGGUUGCGUGAAUUAAAUUAGCAGCACCCUUUUUCAAAAUAAUUUUUUUAAGUUCAAAUAUUGUGUCAAAUUAGAGAAAGUGAUC
RNAcentral lists this long non-coding RNA (407 nucleotides) under Phoenix dactylifera (date palm). RNAcentral describes it as "long non-coding RNA (PDAC_LNC013775)". Lineage: Eukaryota; Viridiplantae; Streptophyta; Magnoliopsida; Arecales; Arecaceae. The record is from RNAcentral.